This 866-nucleotide ribosomal RNA is filed under the name Bacillus infantis. RNAcentral's name for it is "bacterial SSU rRNA". It matches the Rfam family "Bacterial small subunit ribosomal RNA", at positions 1 to 848 of the family's 1533-position model. Lineage: Bacteria; Bacillati; Bacillota; Bacilli; Caryophanales; Bacillaceae. The record is from RNAcentral.
UUAUAUGGAGAGUUUGAUCCUGGCUCAGGACGAACGCUGGCGGCGUGCCUAAUACAUGCAAGUCGAGCGGACGGAUGGGAGCUUGCUCCCUGAAGUCAGCGGCGGACGGGUGAGUAACACGUGGGCAACCUGCCUGUAAGACUGGGAUAACUUCGGGAAACCGGAGCUAAUACCGGAUAAUGCAYARCCUCUCAUGAGGCUAUGCUGAAAGAUGGUUUCGGCUAUCACUUACAGAUGGGCCCGCGGCGCAUUAGCUAGUUGGUGAGGUAACGGCUCACCAAGGCAACGAUGCGUAGCCGACCUGAGAGGGUGAUCGGCCACACUGGGACUGAGACACGGCCCAGACUCCUACGGGAGGCAGCAGUAGGGAAUCUUCCGCAAUGGACGAAAGUCUGACGGAGCAACGCCGCGUGAGUGAUGAAGGUUUUCGGAUCGUAAAACUCUGUUGUCAGGGAAGAACAAGUGCCGGAGUAACUGCCGGCACCUUGACGGUACCUGACCAGAAAGCCACGGCUAACUACGUGCCAGCAGCCGCGGUAAUACGUAGGUGGCAAGCGUUGUCCGGAAUUAUUGGGCGUAAAGCGCGCGCAGGCGGUCUCUUAAGUCUGAUGUGAAAGCCCACGGCUCAACCGUGGAGGGUCAUUGGAAACUGRGGGACUUGAGUGCAGAAGAGGAAAGUGGAAUUCCACGUGUAGCGGUGAAAUGCGUAGAGAUGUGGAGGAACACCAGUGGCGAAGGCGACUUUCUGGUCUGUAACUGACGCUGAGGCGCGAAAGCGUGGGGAGCAAACAGGAUUAGAUACCCUGGUAGUCCACGCCGUAAACGAUGAGUGCUAAGUGUUAGAGGGUUUCCGCCCUUUAGUGCUG